This 254-nucleotide ribosomal RNA is filed under the name uncultured bacterium. RNAcentral describes it as "partial 16S ribosomal RNA". It matches the Rfam family "Bacterial small subunit ribosomal RNA", at positions 524 to 776 of the family's 1533-position model. The record is from RNAcentral.
GACGUAGGAGGCGAGCGUUGUCCGGAUUUACUGGGCGUAAAGGGCGCGUAGGCGGCAGAUUAAGUCAGCUGUGAAAUCUCCGAGCUUAACUCGGAACUGUCAGCUGAUACUGUUUUGCUAGAGUGCGGAAGGGGCAAUCGGAAUUCUUGGUGUAGCGGUGAAAUGCGUAGAUAUCAAGAGGAACACCUGAGGUGAAGACGGGUUGCUGGGCCGACACUGACGCUGAGUGCGCGAAAGCCAGGGGAGCAAACGGG